CAAAGAACUGAGAGUGUGUUUGCCUGGUGUUAAUCCCUGUCCUGUCUUUAAUAAACUGCAGACGUGGUCCGCCGAAGCCAGUGGUGUCGUGGGGUUCUUUGUGGCGAGAGACGAAGUCCGCUACAACUGUGCCAGUGAUUCAUGUAGCUUGUUAUAGAGUCUUACACCAUGGAGAAACGCACAGAACGCUCAGUGCUUGCAUGUAAUAGAAGGUGGGAAGAAACAGUCAGCCAAGGAGAAAAAGAGCCAUGAUUUCCAAAACUAUGAGAGAGGAGAGAGGUAAAUGGACCUGCCAUGGAUGGUUAUGUAAGUGCCAGUGGAAACAAUUUACCUCGGGCGUCGCAGAAACAAUCUGUCAUUAACUGAGUGUUUCCCCUGCAGGUUCAUUGAUGCAUCACCUUUCUCUUCUUUACUCUCAAAAUCACUUCAAUUUUCUCCGAAUAGUCAAGUUUUUAUUUGCAAGCAUCUGUGCCUUCAGAAUAAAC
RNAcentral lists this long non-coding RNA (485 nucleotides) under Sinocyclocheilus grahami. RNAcentral describes it as "lncRNA (ENSSGRG00000055396.1)". Lineage: Eukaryota; Metazoa; Chordata; Actinopteri; Cypriniformes; Cyprinidae. The record is from RNAcentral.